This 253-nucleotide ribosomal RNA is filed under the name uncultured bacterium. RNAcentral's name for it is "partial 16S ribosomal RNA". It matches the Rfam family "Bacterial small subunit ribosomal RNA", at positions 524 to 776 of the family's 1533-position model. The record is from RNAcentral.
UACGUAGGGUGCAAGCGUUGUCCGGAAUUAUUGGGCGUAAAGAGCUCGUAGGCGGUUUGUCGCGUCGAAUGUGAAAACCCGGGGCUCAACCCCGGGCCUGCAUUCGAUACGGGCAGACUAGAGUUCGGUAGGGGAGUCUGGAAUUCCUGGUGUAGCGGUGAAAUGCGCAGAUAUCAGGAGGAACACCGGUGGCGAAGGCGGGUCUCUGGGCCGAUACUGACGCUGAGGAGCGAAAGCAUGGGGAGCGAACAGG